UACGAGGGGUGCGAGCGUUAUUCGGAAUCAUUAGGGCGUAAAGGGUGCGUCGACGGCUUAUUAAGUCAACUGUUUAAUUCUCCGGCCUAACUGGAGGUCAGCGGUAGAAACUGAUAGGCUUGAGGUUGGAAGAGAGGAGUGGAAUUCUCGGAGUAGCGGUAAAAUGCGUAGAUCUCGAGAGGAACACCGAUGGCGAAGGCAGCUCCUUGGUCCAAAUCUGACGUUGAGGCACGAAAGCGUGGGGAGCAAACAGG
This 254-nucleotide ribosomal RNA is filed under the name uncultured bacterium. RNAcentral describes it as "partial 16S ribosomal RNA". It matches the Rfam family "Bacterial small subunit ribosomal RNA", at positions 524 to 776 of the family's 1533-position model. The record is from RNAcentral.